This 262-nucleotide ribosomal RNA is filed under the name uncultured bacterium. RNAcentral describes it as "partial 16S ribosomal RNA". It matches the Rfam family "Bacterial small subunit ribosomal RNA", at positions 524 to 776 of the family's 1533-position model. The record is from RNAcentral.
UACGUAGGGUGCAAGCGUUGUCCGGAAUUAUUGGGCGUAAAAGAGCUCGUAGGCGGCUUGUCACGUCUGCUGUGAAAAACUCGGGGGCUCAACCCCCGAGCCUGCAGUGGAUACGGGCUAGCUAGAGUGCGGUAGGGGGAGACUGGAAUUCCUGGUGUAGCGGUGAAAAUGCGCAGAUAUCAGGAGGAACACCGGUGGCGAAGGCGGGUCUCUGGGCAGUAACUGACGCUGAGGAGCGAAAAGCGUGGGGUAGCAAAACAGG